CAAUACAGUUUGAAAAAAGCUGGUGUAUGUAUAUAAUUGUGCUACCUGUAAGCCUGAGUUUGUAUAGCUCCUCUUACUUUGGUAAUUUUUUUCCUCUUUCCCAUUCCUCCAACAUCACCCCCUGACCCCUCAAUUAGGGGAAUAAAUUCUCUGCUCUCUCAUUUCCAUUUGUGUAUUCCACUUGAAGGGAAUAUUAAUGCUAGUUUACAUUUUAAAAUAUGAUAGUAUUUACUUGAACUCCUUAUUU
This 247-nucleotide long non-coding RNA is filed under the name Bos taurus (domestic cattle). RNAcentral's name for it is "long non-coding RNA NONBTAT006884". The record is from RNAcentral. Lineage: Eukaryota; Metazoa; Chordata; Mammalia; Artiodactyla; Bovidae.